This 22-nucleotide microRNA is filed under the name Bos taurus (domestic cattle). RNAcentral describes it as "Bta-Mir-7859_5p* (star (passenger))". The record is from RNAcentral. Lineage: Eukaryota; Metazoa; Chordata; Mammalia; Artiodactyla; Bovidae.
AUGUGAAAUUACCAGUAUUUGU